UGAUAUAAACUUAGAAAUGUGCUAUUUUGGAGAUUUGCCCAAGAUAAAAUGCUAUUUUGGUCAAUUUAGUUUUUGAGGGCUAUUUUUGUGAUAUAAACUUAGAAAUGUGUUAUUUUGGAGAUCUGCACUUUUUAAAAUAGUAAAGGGUGUUUUAAAGUAAACUUAAACGAAUAUAGACGGGUCUAGGCGGAUAAUAGAUGGACAGAACUUAGGUUUACCCCCUAGGGUGAACCUUUAAAUUCACCUCACUUUUUAGAACCAAUCAAAGUGACACAUAGAUUAUUAAUUAAAAAAUAUUAAAAUUAAAUAAAAAAUAGCUACAAAAAAUAAAAACGCUAAUUUUAACGACGCUAACGCUUCCAGCUAAACCCUAAACCCUAAACCCUAAACCCUAAAUCUUAAAUUUUAAAUCCUAUACCCUAAAUUCUAAACCCAAAUCCAAACCCCUAAACCCAAACCCUAUACCCUAAACUCUAAUCCUAGAUCCUAAACCCAAAUUAUAUACCCUAAACCCAAAAACUAGACUAUAAACCUAAACUCUAUAUCCUAAACCCAAAUCCUAGACCUUAAACCCAAACCGUAAAUUUUAAACCCAAAUUAUAUACCCUAAACCCAAAACCUUAACCAUAAGUCCAAACGGUAAAUCCUAAACCCAAACUGUAAACCCUAAACCCAAAACCUAUACCCUAAACCCAAAUCCUAAACCUAAAACCCAAACGGUAAACCCUAAACCCAAACCCCAAACUUAGAUGCUAUAGGGUUUGGGUUUAGGGUCUAAGACUUUGGUUUAGGGUAUAGGGUUUAGGUUUAU
Molecule: long non-coding RNA, 811 nt
Filed under: Brassica napus (rape)
Lineage: Eukaryota; Viridiplantae; Streptophyta; Magnoliopsida; Brassicales; Brassicaceae
Description: long non-coding RNA (BNAP_LNC019982)
Source: RNAcentral